CCUGCGACCGCAGGACGGAAUGUGGCGUGGCCGGUUCGAUGUCGAAUCGUCGCCACGCUGAACCACUCA
Molecule: non-coding RNA, 69 nt
Organism: Haladaptatus sp. R4
Lineage: Archaea; Methanobacteriati; Methanobacteriota; Halobacteria; Halobacteriales; Haladaptataceae
Source: Rfam